This 665-nucleotide ribosomal RNA is filed under the name uncultured bacterium. RNAcentral describes it as "bacterial SSU rRNA". It matches the Rfam family "Bacterial small subunit ribosomal RNA", at positions 76 to 721 of the family's 1533-position model. The record is from RNAcentral.
GCCUUCGGGCUCUUAGUAAAGCGGCGGACGGGUGAGUAACACGUGGGUAAUCUGCCCUCUGGCGGGGGACAACCAUCCGAAAGGAUGGCUAAUACCGCAUACGUCCUCGUGGUCUGCGGGCCAUGAGGGGAAAGCUGGGGAUCGCAAGACCUGGCACCAGAGGAGGGGCCCGCGUCGCAUCAGCUAGUUGGUGGGGUAACGGCCUACCAAGGCGAAGACGCGUAGCUGGUCUGAGAGGAUGAUCAGCCACACUGGGACUGAGACACGGCCCAGACUCCUACGGGAGGCAGCAGUGGGGAAUAUUGGACAAUGGGCGCAAGCCUGAUCCAGCCAUGCCGCGUGAGUGAUGAAGGCCUUCGGGUCGUAAAGCUCUGUGGGGAGCCACGAACACCCGCGUGUUAAUACCACGCGGGAUGACGGUAGCUCCUUAGCAAGCACCGGCUAACUCCGUGCCAGCAGCCGCGGUAAUACGGAGGGUGCAAACGUUGCUUGGAAUCAUUGGGCGUAAAGCGCACGUAGGCGGUUUUGUAAGUCGGAUGUGAAAGCCCUUGGCUUAACCAAGGAAGUGCAUUCGAAACUGCAUGACUUGAGUACCGGAGAGGGUCGCGGAAUUCUCGUUGUAGAGGUGAAAUUCGUAGAUAUCGGGAGGAACACCAGUGCGAAGG